UACAGAGGGUGCGAGCGUUAAUCGGAAUUACUGGGCGUAAAGCGCGCGUAGGCGGCUUUGCAAGUCGGGUGUGAAAUCCCCAGGCUUAACCUGGGAACUGCAUUCGAGACUGCAUUGCUUGAGUAUGGGAGAGGGAAGUGGAAUUUCCGGUGUAGCGGUGAAAUGCGUAGAUAUCGGAAGGAACAUCAGUGGCGAAAGCGACUUCCUGGACCAGUACCGACGUUCAGGCACGAAAGCGUGGGGAGCAAACAGG
This 253-nucleotide ribosomal RNA is filed under the name uncultured bacterium. RNAcentral's name for it is "partial 16S ribosomal RNA". It matches the Rfam family "Bacterial small subunit ribosomal RNA", at positions 524 to 776 of the family's 1533-position model. The record is from RNAcentral.